CUCUCCUGUACCAGAGCUGGCAGAUGGGAAUCUGUCGGGAGUGUCAGGGAGAGUCCAGACCGGUUCCGGCGAUGCGAAAGCAUCCAAAAAUAAAACCGGACCGGACAGCUUGGUAGGGAAACCGAAGAGUCGUCCGGUCC
RNAcentral lists this non-coding RNA (140 nucleotides) under Rubidibacter lacunae KORDI 51-2. Its description in RNAcentral is "RT-14 RNA". It matches the Rfam family "RT-14 RNA". Rfam says of the family: Cloacimonetes, Firmicutes, Proteobacteria. The record is from Rfam by way of RNAcentral. Lineage: Bacteria; Bacillati; Cyanobacteriota; Cyanophyceae; Chroococcales; Aphanothecaceae.